GGGAAGACCAAGGAUAAUGCAAAAUUGAGGGAAGAUUUGAAGGAGUUUUAUUGGCAUCCUAAGUUAGAGAAGAAUGCAGCAACUGGGAAGUAUCCUAAAGCAUGUUACACUUUGGAUAAAUAGUCAAAAGCAGUGCUAUGUGAAUGGUUUACAAAUCUGAGAUUCCCAAAUGGUUAUUUAUCAAAUAUGGGCAGGUGUAUGGACAUGCAUAAAUUGAAGUUGUUUGGAAUGAAAAACCAUGAAUGUCAUGUCUUUAUGCAGAGAUAACUUCCC
This 273-nucleotide unclassified non-coding RNA is filed under the name Hevea brasiliensis (rubber tree). Lineage: Eukaryota; Viridiplantae; Streptophyta; Magnoliopsida; Malpighiales; Euphorbiaceae. The record is from RNAcentral.